GCUCAGGAUGAACGCUGGCGGCGUGCCUAAUACAUGCAAGUCGAACGCACUAGUUUACUAGUGAGUGGCGAACGGGUGAGUAACACGUAGGUAACCUGCCCUUAAGACGAGGAUAACCAUUGGAAACGAUGGCUAAGACUGGAUAGGAAUAUUUGAGGCAUCUUAAAUAUUUUAAAAGACCUAGCAAUAGGUAUGCUUAAGGAGGGGCCUGCGGCGCAUUAGUUAGUUGGUGAGGUGAGAGCUCACCAAGGUAGCCGGACUGAGAGGUUGAACGGCCACAUUGGGACUGAGAAACGGCCCAAACUCCUACGGGAGGCAGCAGUAGGGAAUUUUCGGCAAUGGAGGAAACUCUGACCGAGCAACGCCGCGUGAAUGACGAAGUACUUCGGUAUGUAAAGUUCUUUUAUCAGGGAAGAAUGGGCAGUGGAAAAACUGUUUUGACGGUACCUGAUGAAUAAGCCCCGGCUAACUAUGUGCCAGCAGCCGCGGUAAUACAUAGGGGGCAAGCGUUAUCCGGAAUUAUUGGGCGUAAAGGGUGCGUAGGCGGUUAUUUAAGUCUGGUGUGAAAGAUCAGGGCUCAACCCUGAGAGUGCAUCGGAAACUGGAGAUCUUGAGGACAGGAGAGGAAAGUGGAAUUCCACGUGUAGCGGUGAAAUGCGUAGAUAUGUGGAGGAACACCAGUGGCGAAGGCGACUUUCUGGACUGUAACUGACGCUGAGGCGCGAAAGCGUGGGGAGCAAACAGGAUUAGAUACCCUGGUAGUCCACGCCGUAAACGAUGAGUGCUAGGUGU
This 792-nucleotide ribosomal RNA is filed under the name bacterium enrichment culture clone H:1950:Ti:5. RNAcentral describes it as "bacterial SSU rRNA". It matches the Rfam family "Bacterial small subunit ribosomal RNA", at positions 22 to 823 of the family's 1533-position model. The record is from RNAcentral.